AUGAACGCUUGCCGCGUGCCUAAUACAUGCAAGUCGAGCGAACAGACGAGGAGCUUGCUCCUCUGACGUUAGCGGCGGACGGGUGAGUAACCCGUGGAUAACCUACCUAUAAGACUGGGAUAACUUCGGGAAACCGGAGCUAAUACCGGAUAAUAUAUUUAACCGCAUGGUUCAAUAGUGAAAGACGGUUUUGCUUUCACUUAUAGAUGGAUCCGCGCCGCAUUAGCUAGUUGGUAAGGUAACGGCUUACCAAGGCAACGAUGCGUAGCCGACCUGAGAGGGUGAUCGGCCACACUGGAACUGAGACACGGUCCAGACUCCUACGGGAGGCAGCAGUAGGGAAUCUUCCGCAAUGGGCGAAAGCCUGACGGAGCAACGCCGCGUGAGUGAUGAAGGUCUUCGGAUCGUAAAACUCUGUUAUUAGGGAAGAACAAAUGUGUAAGUAACUAUGCACGUCUUGACGGUACCUAAUCAGAAAGCCACGGCUAACUACGUG
RNAcentral lists this ribosomal RNA (496 nucleotides) under uncultured bacterium. RNAcentral describes it as "partial 16S ribosomal RNA". It matches the Rfam family "Bacterial small subunit ribosomal RNA", at positions 29 to 507 of the family's 1533-position model. The record is from RNAcentral.